CCUACGGGUGGCAGCAGUGGGGAAUAUUGGGCAAUGGGCGCAAGCCUGACCCAGCAACGCCGCGUGAAGGAAGACUGCUUUCGGGUUGUAAACUUCUUUUGUUAGGGAAGUGUAGAAGACGGUACCUGACGAAUAAGCCAUGGCUAACUACGUGCCAGCAGCUGCGGUAAUACGUAGGUGGGCAGUGUUGUCCGGAUUUCCUGGGUGUAAAGGGCGUGUAGCCGGGUUGACAAGUCAGAUGUGAAAUCCUGGGGCUUAACCGGCGAACUGCAUUUGAAACUGUUGAUCUUGAGUACUGGAGAGGAAGGCGGAAUUCCUGGUGUAGGGGUGAAAUGCGGAGAUAUUAGGAGGAACACCAGUGGCGAAGGCGGUCUGCUGGACAGCAACUGACGGUGAGGCGCGAAAGCGUGGGGAGCAAACAGGAUUAGAUACCCUGGUAGUC
RNAcentral lists this ribosomal RNA (442 nucleotides) under uncultured bacterium. Its description in RNAcentral is "partial 16S ribosomal RNA". It matches the Rfam family "Bacterial small subunit ribosomal RNA", at positions 338 to 795 of the family's 1533-position model. The record is from RNAcentral.